UACGUAGGCAGCGAGCGUUUUUCGGAAUUACUGGGCGUAAAGAGUGUGUAGGCGGUGCUCUAAGUUCGGUGUGAAAUCUCCUGGCUCAACUGGGAGGGUGCGCCGGAAACUGGAGUGCUAGAGGGUGGGAGAGGUAAGCGGAAUUCCUGGUGUAGCGGUGAAAUGCGUAGAUAUCAGGAGGAACACCUGUGGUGUAGACAGCUUACUGGACCACUUCUGACGCUGAGACACGAAAGCGUGGGUAGCAAACAGG
Molecule: ribosomal RNA, 253 nt
Filed under: uncultured bacterium
Lineage: Bacteria
Description: partial 16S ribosomal RNA
Rfam family: Bacterial small subunit ribosomal RNA
Source: RNAcentral